GACGAACGCUGGCGGCGUGCCUAAUACAUGCAAGUCGAGCGGACCAAAGGGAGCUUGCUCCUGGAGGUUAGCGGCGAACGGGUGAGUAACACGUGGGCAACCUGCCUGUAAGACUGGGAUAACAUCGAGAAAUCGGUGCUAAUACCGGAUAAUAAAAAGAACUGCAUGGUUCUUUUUUGAAAGAUGGUUUCGGCUAUCACUUACAGAUGGGCCCGCGGCGCAUUAGCUGGUUGGUGAGGUAACGGCUCACCAAGGCGACGAUGCGUAGCCGACCUGAGAGGGUGAUCGGCCACACUGGGACUGAGACACGGCCCAGACUCCUACGGGAGGCAGCAGUAGGGAAUCUUCCGCAAUGGACGAAAGUCUGACGGAGCAACGCCGCGUGAGUGAUGAAGGUUUUCGGAUCGUAAAACUCUGUUGUUAGGGAAGAACAAGUGCCGUUCGAAAGGGCGGCACCUUGACGGUACCUAACGAGAAAGCCACGGCUAACUACGUGCCAGCAGCCG
RNAcentral lists this ribosomal RNA (506 nucleotides) under uncultured bacterium. RNAcentral describes it as "bacterial SSU rRNA". It matches the Rfam family "Bacterial small subunit ribosomal RNA", at positions 28 to 517 of the family's 1533-position model. The record is from RNAcentral.